RNAcentral lists this ribosomal RNA (204 nucleotides) under uncultured bacterium. RNAcentral's name for it is "partial 16S ribosomal RNA". It matches the Rfam family "Bacterial small subunit ribosomal RNA", at positions 1300 to 1500 of the family's 1533-position model. The record is from RNAcentral.
GCAGGCUGCAACCCGCCCUGUAUGAAGUUGGAAUCGCUAGUAAUCGCGGAUCAGCAUGCCGCGGUGAAUACGUUCCCGGGCCUUGUACACACCGCCCGUCACACCAUGAGAGUCGGGAACACCCGAAGUCCGUAGUCUAACUUUCACGAGAGGACGCGGCCGAAGGUGGGUUCGAUAAUUGGGGUGAAGUCGUAACAAGGUAGC